Molecule: long non-coding RNA, 658 nt
Organism: Oreochromis aureus
Lineage: Eukaryota; Metazoa; Chordata; Actinopteri; Cichliformes; Cichlidae
Source: Ensembl
CAAUAGGUGAUGCUAUAGGAGACUCUUAAGAUUAUGUUUUCAAGAUUAAAACCACAGCGUGGACGAAUAAGGGUCAUGAAGCAGUUUCUCAUCCUUUUGCUAGUAGUAGCAGGAACUCAUGCUUUCUUUCCAGUUGGUGAGACUACAUGUAAUCUCACUCACAACACAUGCCCAUGCACUCCUCUGACUGAGGGAACUGUGUAUAUCCAAGUGAUGACUAAUGCUAGUGGCCGUGAACUGAAGUUUUUGAAGGUGCUUCCCAACGGGAACAUAACUGUGUUGAGUCUGAAGAAAGAAAAAAUAACAAUGACAGACAAGGAAUUUAACAACAGACUACAGUUUAUAUUCGAGAACGGGACGCUCAAGAUCACAAACGUGAGGAGGAAUGAUUCAGGUCAAUACAGCAUUGAGGUCUUGAAUUCAAAUGGAGUCCAAGAUGAAAACAUUCAUUUCACCCUGGAUGUUAAAGACAAAGGCAAAGUUGAAGGUGUGGAAACUUACUGUGAUGGCAGACAGGAUGGAGCUCAGUGUUAUGGAGCUUUGGGAGGAAGUGUGGAGAUCAAGCUGAUGGACAGCACCUCAAAAAUACCUCGAUACCAUUUGUUAAAGAAUUCAUUAAAAAUACUAGAUGUCAAAGAUAAUAUAGCUCUUCCUAAUA